This 25-nucleotide unclassified non-coding RNA is filed under the name Mus musculus (house mouse). Its description in RNAcentral is "oocyte_clustered_small_RNA11661". Lineage: Eukaryota; Metazoa; Chordata; Mammalia; Rodentia; Muridae. The record is from RNAcentral.
UCUUCUGGAGUCUGGGCUUGACACG